Molecule: small RNA, 743 nt
Filed under: Pan troglodytes (chimpanzee)
Lineage: Eukaryota; Metazoa; Chordata; Mammalia; Primates; Hominidae
Description: processed transcript
Source: RNAcentral
ACUCGCGAAGUUCUCGCCGGACGAAGGGACCAGCCAGCAUCUCGCUAGACAGCGAGGCCGGAAGCGGAGGCGCGGCCCCUGCGCGGCCCCGGAAACCAGUGAGGCCGGCGCGCGCCCGCCGGAAGCCGCGACCCCGACGCGCCCCCCAUCGCCCUCGGCGCCGGAAGUGGUCGCGGGCAGUUCUGCUUCCUGGCCGAGGGGCGUGCGCGGGCCCGGGGCGGCUGCGGAGGCCGAAGCAUCCAUGGCGGAGGGCGGCAGCCCAGACGGGCGGGCAGGGCCGGGCUCCGCAGACAGGGUGUUGCUGUGUUGCCCAGGCUGAUCUUGAACUCCUGGCCUCAAGUGAUCCUGCCUCAGCCUCCUGAGUAGCUGGGAUUACAGGCGUGCCACCAUGCCCAGCUUGUGGUUUAUUUCUUGAGCAUUUGAAGUGCAGGUCGUAAUCUGAAGGAGUGGCUGAGGGAGCAAUUUUGUGAUCACCCGCUGGAGCACUGUGAGGACACGAGGCUCCAUGAUGCAGCUUACGUCGGGGACCUCCAGACCCUCAGGAGCCUAUUGCAAGAGGAGAGCUACCGGAGCCGCAUCAACGAGAAGUCUGUCUGGUGCUGUGGCUGGCUCCCCUGCACACCGUUGCGAAUCGCGGCCACUGCAGGCCAUGGGAGCUGUGUGGACUUCCUCAUCCGGAAGGGGGCCGAGGUGGAUCUGGUGGACGUAAAAGGACAGACGGCCCUGUAUGUGGCUGUGGUGAA